Molecule: ribosomal RNA, 718 nt
Filed under: uncultured bacterium
Lineage: Bacteria
Description: bacterial SSU rRNA
Rfam family: Bacterial small subunit ribosomal RNA
Source: RNAcentral
AAGGGGGCAACCCUGAGUACAGUGGCGCACGGGUGAGUAACACGUGGAUUAUCUACCUUUUAGUGGGGAAUACCCCUGGGAAACCGGGGACAAUACCGCAUAAGCCUGUAAAGGGAAAGCCGAAAGGCGCUGAAAGAGGAGUCCGCGGCCGAUUAGCUAGAUGGCGGGGUAAUGGCCCACCAUGGCGAAGAUCGGUAGCCGGCCUGAGAGGGCACACGGCCACACUGGCACUGAAAUACGGGCCAGACUCCUACGGGAGGCAGCAGUGGGGAAUCUUGCACAAUGGAGGAAACUCUGAUGCAGCGACGCCGCGUGAGUGAUGAAGCCCUUCGGGGUGUAAAGCUCUUUCGACGGGAACGAUUAUGACGGUACCCGGAGAAGAAGCUGCGGCUAACUACGUGCCAGCAGCCGCGGUAAUACGUAGGCAGCAAGCGUUGUUCGGAAUUACUGGGCGUAAAGAGUGUGUAGGCUGUGUUCCAAGUCUGUUGUGAAAUCUCCCGGCUCAACCGGGAGGGUGCGGCGGAAACUGGAAUGCUAGAGGGUGGGAGAGGUAAGCGGAAUUCCUGGUGUAGCGGUGAAAUGCGUAGAUAUCAGGAGGAACACCUGUGGUGUAGACAGCUUACUGGACCACUUCUGACGCUGAGACACGAAAGCGUGGGUAGCAAACAGGAUUAGAUACCCUGGUAGUCCAUGCCCUAAACGAUGCAUACUUGGUGUG